GACUAAAGGCUAAAAGGUGUUUUUUUCUCACAACAUGGCAUGUCCUUUUGUCGACGACCCAGUUGAUGCAGAGGCUGUAUUAAUUUGCAGGGAGUUAAACAUACUGUAUGUCGGGAGAUGAUAUUGAGGCCCUGACUAUAGAUGCAUUUUAAUUUCCAUAUAACUACCUAUUUGAGAAGUAUCGUUUUUCUUCCCAGUCUAUCAGUCAUGUAGCCUACAUAACCUUAUCCGUCCUCAUAUCACUAACGUCACACAUCAUGGCCACUAC
Molecule: long non-coding RNA, 268 nt
Organism: Etheostoma cragini (Arkansas darter)
Lineage: Eukaryota; Metazoa; Chordata; Actinopteri; Perciformes; Percidae
Exons: 3
Source: RefSeq, a predicted model, not a curated record